AGAGUUUGAUCAUGGCUCAGAGCGAACGCUGGCGGCAGUAACACAUGCAAGUCGAGCGGGCGUAGCAAUACGUCAGCGGCAGACGGGUGAGUAACGCGUGGGAACAUACCUUUUGGUUCGGAACAACACAGGGAAAACUUGUGCUAAUACCGGAUAAGCCCUUACGGGGAAAGAUUUAUCGCCGAAAGAUUGGCCCGCGUCUGAUUAGCUAGUUGGUGAGGUAAUGGCUCACCAAGGCGACGAUCAGUAGCUGGUCUGAGAGGAUGAUCAGCCACAUUGGGACUGAGACACGGCCCAAACUCCUACGGGAGGCAGCAGUGGGGAAUAUUGGACAAUGGGGGCAACCCUGAUCCAGCCAUGCCGCGUGAGUGAUGAAGGCCCUAGGGUUGUAAAGCUCUUUUGUGCGGGAAGAUAAUGACGGUACCGCAAGAAUAAGCCCCGGCUAACUUCGUGCCAGCAGCCGCGGUAAUACGAGGGGGGCUAGCGUUGCUCGGAAUCACUGGGCGUAAAGGGUGCGUAGGCGGGUUUUUAAGUCAGGGGUGAAAUCCUGGAGCUCAACUCCAGAACUGCCUUUGAUACUGAAGAUCUUGAGUCCGGGAGAGGUGAGUGGAACUGCGAGUGUAGAGGUGAAAUUCGUAGAUAUUCGCAAGAACACCAGUGGCGAAGGCGGCUCACUGGCCCGGGUACUGACGCUGAGGCACGAAAGCGUGGGGAGCAAACAGGAUUAGAUACCCUAGUAGUCC
RNAcentral lists this ribosomal RNA (743 nucleotides) under uncultured bacterium. Its description in RNAcentral is "bacterial SSU rRNA". It matches the Rfam family "Bacterial small subunit ribosomal RNA", at positions 8 to 796 of the family's 1533-position model. The record is from RNAcentral.